Molecule: long non-coding RNA, 761 nt
Organism: Oreochromis aureus
Lineage: Eukaryota; Metazoa; Chordata; Actinopteri; Cichliformes; Cichlidae
Source: Ensembl
ACGGGACCGGAGAUGCACGAGGUUAGCUGAACCAAAGUGAGAGACUCGGCUAGUUUUACUGAGGUUAACCAGCACAAAAGAGUGUGUGACUAGAAAGCUGACCGUGUGAGAGCUUCACAACAGAGUGUGGGUGAAGUGACUUUUUGUUUCAACGGUCGCACCACCGUGGAAAACUGUGUUUCCAGCUACGACCGCCGAGGCUAAAGGCUAGCCCGGACUGCUUGGCUUCGCCAAGGAGGCAGCCGCUAUGGACUCGCUGUAGCAGAGACAGCAUCGGGUCCGCAGGGAGUGGAUUUAGUGUGGAACUGGUGCACGGCGACCUACCGAUCAGCUGAACUGUAAGUCAGACUUUUGUGCUCUUACUGGGAGAAGAGGAUUUAACUCCAUCGUCCGGCGUGAGCAACAAACAGGCCUGCAACAAGUGUGAAUGAGAAGACGAGGAAGCGGCUGUCAGAGUGGCGAGACGGGUUGUGGAAACCGAAAGUGAAGUACAACAGAGUAACUGAGGAGGCGGAGCUAGAAAACGUCAUAGGAGGAGUUUCACAAAACAGGUGACGUGUGAGAACCCCAGAGAGAAAGGAGAGGUCCCUGACGCCAAGGCGGUGUGGCUAAAGGUCAUCAAACGCAAGUGGAAGGAACCCAGGUGGACAGGUCCAUACGAGGUGACAGGGCGGACGGCUACCGCGGUCCAGCUGAAAGGGAAAGGCGACACCUGGUUCCAUUGGACGCAGUGUGCGGCAGCAGACGAGAGCCUAGUGGAC